GCAUGGAUGAUGACUUUACUUUCUUUUGUCGGAUACCCCUUCAUUCUACAAUGAGUGAGAUCCCUAUUCUGACAUGC
This 77-nucleotide small nucleolar RNA is filed under the name Cottoperca gobio. RNAcentral describes it as "Small nucleolar RNA SNORD101 (ENSCGOG00000021302.1)". It matches the Rfam family "Small nucleolar RNA SNORD101". Rfam says of the family: snoRNA U101 is a member of the C/D class of snoRNA which contain the C (UGAUGA) and D (CUGA) box motifs and guide the 2'-O-methylation of rRNA and snRNAs. The precise target of this family is unknown. The record is from Rfam by way of RNAcentral. Lineage: Eukaryota; Metazoa; Chordata; Actinopteri; Perciformes; Bovichtidae.